Molecule: ribosomal RNA, 301 nt
Filed under: uncultured bacterium
Lineage: Bacteria
Description: partial 16S ribosomal RNA
Rfam family: Bacterial small subunit ribosomal RNA
Source: RNAcentral
CAGCCGCCGCGGUAAUACGAAGGGGGCUAGCGUUGUUCGGAUUUACUGGGCGUAAAGCGCACGUAGGCGGACUUUUAAGUCAGGGGUGAAAUCCCGGGGCUCAACCCCGGAACUGCCUUUGAUACUGGAAGUCUUGAGUAUGGUAGAGGUGAGCGGAAUUCCGAGUGUAGGGGUGAAAUUCGUAGAUAUUCGGAGGAACACCAGUGGCGAAGGCGGCUCACUGGACCAUUACUGACGCUGAGGUGCGAAAGCGUGGGGAGCAAACAGGAUUAGAUACCCGUGUAGUCCCUGUCUCUUAUAC